This 253-nucleotide ribosomal RNA is filed under the name uncultured bacterium. Its description in RNAcentral is "partial 16S ribosomal RNA". It matches the Rfam family "Bacterial small subunit ribosomal RNA", at positions 524 to 776 of the family's 1533-position model. The record is from RNAcentral.
UACGUAGGGUCCGAGCGUUGUCCGGAAUUAUUGGGCGUAAAGGGCUCGUAGGCGGUCUGUUGCGUCGGGAGUGAAAAUUCACAGCUUAACUGUGAACUUGCUUCCGAUACGGGCAGACUUGAGGUAUUCAGGGGAGAACGGAAUUCCUGGUGUAGCGGUGAAGUGCGCAGAUAUCAGGAGGAACACCGGUGGCGAAGGCGGUUCUCUGGGAAUAUCCUGACGCUGAGGAGCGAAAGUGUGGGGAGCGAACAGG